AACGCACAUUGCGCCCUCUGGUAUUCCGGGGGGCAUGCCUGUUCGAGCGUCAUUAUAACCACUCAAGCUCUCGCUUGGUAUUGGGGUUCGCGGUUUCGCGGCCCCUAAAAUCAGUGGCGGUGCCUGUCGGCUCUACGCGUAGUAAUACUCCUCGCGAUUGAGUCCGGUAGGUCUACUUGCCAGCAACCCCUAAUUUUUUUUUAAGGUUGACCUCGGAUCAGGUAGGGAUACCCGCUGAACUUAA
This 244-nucleotide unclassified non-coding RNA is filed under the name uncultured Helotiales. RNAcentral's name for it is "sequence contains ITS2". The stretch from base 1 to 52 matches the Rfam family "5.8S ribosomal RNA", at positions 103 to 154 of the family's 154-position model. The record is from RNAcentral. Lineage: Eukaryota; Fungi; Ascomycota; Leotiomycetes; Helotiales.